This 254-nucleotide ribosomal RNA is filed under the name uncultured bacterium. RNAcentral's name for it is "partial 16S ribosomal RNA". It matches the Rfam family "Bacterial small subunit ribosomal RNA", at positions 524 to 776 of the family's 1533-position model. The record is from RNAcentral.
UACGUAGGAGGCGAGCGUUGUCCGGAAUUACUGGGCGUAAAGAGCGCGUAGGCGGCGCGGUACGACCGCUGUGAAAGCCCCCAGCUCAACUGGGGAGGGUCAGCGGUAACGGCCGUGCUUUGAGUGCAGGAGAGGGAAGUGGAACUCCGGGAGUAGCGGUGAAAUGCGUAGAGACCCGGAGGAACACCAGUGGCGAAGGCGGCUUCCUGGUCUGCGACUGACGCUGUGGCGCGAAAGCUAGGGGAGCGAACGGG